CAGGUGAGUUUUGGGGUCCCCCAGGUGAGUUUGGGAUUUCCCAGGUGCCCCCUCAGGUGAGUUUGGGACCUCUCAGGUGAAUUUUGGGGCCCCCCUAAACCCCCAAACCCCAAAACCACUCCCGGGGUCUCUCAGGGAUGAGUUUAAUGCAGCAGCAGCAGCGGCAGCGGCAGCCAGGUGAGUUCAGGUGUGCCAGGGGUGCCCAGGUGUGCCAGGGGUGCCCAGGUGAGUCAGUGCAGCAGUUCCAGGCAGUGACAGACCCCAAAGAAUCCCCAAAAGUUCUUCAGAGACCCCAAAAAAACCCCAAAAAAACCCCAAAAAUCCACCCCAGAGCAAAGCAGCAGCUGCCAGGUGUGCCCAGGUGAGUCCAGCAAUGCCCAGGUGUGCCCAGGUGAGUUCAGCAGUGCCCAGCUGUGCCCAGGUGUGCCCAGGUGUGCCCAGGUGUGCCCAGGUGAGUUCAGCAGUGCCCAGCUGUGCCCAGGUGAGUCAGUGCAGCAGCUCCAGGCAGCGACAGACCCCAAAGAACCCCAAAAGCUGCCCCAGAAAUCCCAAAAAAGACCCCAAGAAUCAACCCCAGAGCCAAGCAGCAGCUCCCAGGUGUGCCCAGGUGAGUUCAGCAGUGCCCAGGUGUGCCCAGUGGUGCCCAGGUGAGUCAGUGCAGCAGCGACAGCCCCAAAAGAUGCCCAAGGAACCCCCAAAAAAUCCCCCAAAAAAACCCGAAAAUGUUCCCCCAAGCCAAGCAGCAGUGCCCAGGUGUGCCCAGGUGAGUUCAGCAGUGCCCAGGUGUGCCCAGGUGUGCCCAGCUGUGCCCAGGUGACCCCAAAUUGG
This 828-nucleotide long non-coding RNA is filed under the name Zonotrichia albicollis (white-throated sparrow). RNAcentral's name for it is "lncRNA (ENSZALG00000001709.1)". The record is from RNAcentral. Lineage: Eukaryota; Metazoa; Chordata; Aves; Passeriformes; Passerellidae.